GGAAGUGAGGGCAAUCUGGCCAUGACAUCUGUCACCCCAUUGAUCGCCAGUGUUGAUUCGGCUGAUCUGGCUGGCUAGGCGGAUGCUCCCUUCCUCCCUCACCACUCCACGUGUGUCCCUCCCGAUGUCGCAUGCUCAGUUGAAGAGGACGACCUUCCCCGAUAGAAGAGGAUCGGUCUUCGGUCAAGGGUAUACGAGUAGCUGUGCUCCCCUGCUGGAACCUCCAAACAAGCUCUCAAGGUCCAUUUGUAGGAGAAUGUAGGAUAGGCAAGCUUCUAAGACUCCACAAACACAUCCAAAUGUCUUUCUUU
Molecule: small nuclear RNA, 311 nt
Filed under: Felis catus (domestic cat)
Lineage: Eukaryota; Metazoa; Chordata; Mammalia; Carnivora; Felidae
Description: 7SK RNA
Rfam family: 7SK RNA
About the family: 7SK was discovered as an abundant small nuclear RNA in the mid-70s but a possible function has only recently been suggested. Two independent studies have found that 7SK RNA binds the CDK9/cyclin T complex (known as elongation factor P-TEFb).
Source: Rfam by way of RNAcentral